AUUGAACGCUGGCGGCAGGCUUAACACAUGCAAGUCGAGCGAGCGGCGGACGGGUGAGUAAUGGCUGGGAAACUGCCAGAUGGAGGGGGAUAACUACUGGAAACGGUAGCUAAUACCGCAUACCAUCAGAUGUGCCCAGAUGGGAUUAGCUAGGAGGGGGGGUAAUGGCUCACCUAGGCGACGAUCCCUAGCUGGUCUGAGCGGAUGACCAGCCACACUGGAACUGAGACACGGUCCAGACUGCUACGGGAGGCAGCAGUGGGGAAGAUUGCACAAUGGGCGCAAGCCUGAUGCAGCCAGUCCGCGUGUGUGAAGAAGGCCGUCGGGUUGUAAAGCACGUUCAGCGAGGAGGCGUUACUCGCAGAAGAAGCACCGGCUAACUCCGUGCCAGCAGCCGCGGUAAUUC
Molecule: ribosomal RNA, 406 nt
Filed under: uncultured bacterium
Lineage: Bacteria
Description: partial 16S ribosomal RNA
Rfam family: Bacterial small subunit ribosomal RNA
Source: RNAcentral